This 253-nucleotide ribosomal RNA is filed under the name uncultured bacterium. Its description in RNAcentral is "partial 16S ribosomal RNA". It matches the Rfam family "Bacterial small subunit ribosomal RNA", at positions 524 to 776 of the family's 1533-position model. The record is from RNAcentral.
UACAGAGGGUGCGAGCGUUGUCCGGAAUCACUGGGCGUAACGGGCGCGUAGGUGGCGACCCAAGUCUGUGGUGAAAGCUCGACGCUCAACGUCGAGUCGGCCAUAGAUACUGGGUUGCUUGAGCACUGUAGAGGCAGAUGGAAUUCCGGGUGUAGCGGUGGAAUGCGUAGAGAUCCGGAAGAACACCGGUGGCGAAGGCGGUCUGCUGGGCAGUUGCUGACACUGAGGCGCGACAGCGUGGGGAGCAAACAGG